This is a long non-coding RNA of Uranotaenia lowii, 448 nucleotides long. RefSeq lists it as uncharacterized. The transcript is spliced from 3 exons. Lineage: Eukaryota; Metazoa; Arthropoda; Insecta; Diptera; Culicidae. The record is from RefSeq and is a predicted model, not a curated record.
CGUUUUGCUUCUCACUCGCACCACCAAGAGUCAGUCUUUGAUUUGCAUCCUACUUGCGCGCACGCAACAAUUUUCUGCAGAACUUCCCCAAAAGUCCUUGCGAAAACAUCAAAAUUUUUCUCGAAUAGUUGUUGGUUUCCGCUGGAUCCAGGAGCGAAAUGAAACGCCAUCAGACCAUUCCUCCAUAGUUGCGGUCGCAACCAAGAAAGUCAAGAAUCUAAGGAUUUUCAACUUCAUUCGCAAGUCGACUGUCGAAUCACACCCAGCCACAGAAAUUGGAUCUGGAGGACCAGCUCAAGCUAAAAAAUGUUCUCGUGUGACAAAUCCCACCAGGGUAGUUUCCAGAUUAUCCAUCAUAAUAUGGCCAAUUCAAUCCCCAGCGAAGAAAUGUAUUUUUUGGAUGAAUCGGAGAAAGUUGGCAAAAAAACAGUGGCUGGAACUGGAUAUG